AAGUCGAACGGGGAUGCAGCAAAAGCUUGCUUUUAUUGCAUCCUAGUGGCGGACGGGUGAGUAACACGUGAGCAACCUGCCCGACAUACUGGGAUAACAGCGGGAAACCGUUGCUAAUACCGGAUACUCCAUUUCUGGCGCAUGUCAGAGAUGGGAAAGGGUUUACCGAUGUCGGAUGGGCUCGCGUCCCAUUAGCUGGUUGGUGAGGUAACGGCUCACCAAGGCUGCGAUGGGUAGCUGGUCUGAGAGGACGAUCAGCCACACUGGAACUGAGACACGGUCCAGACUCCUACGGGAGGCAGCAGUGAGGAAUAUUGGACAAUGGAUGGAAAUCUGAUCCAGCCAUGCCGCGUGCAGGAAGACGGCCUUAUGGGUUGUAAACUGCUUUUAUACGGGAGCAAUAAGGGUUACGAGUAAUCCGAUGAGAGUACUGUAUGAAUAAGGAUCGGCUAACUCCGUGCCAGCAGCCGCGGUAAUACGGAGGAUCCGAGCGUUAUCCGGAAUUAUUGGGUUUAAAGGGUGCGUAGGCGGCCAUUUAAGUCAGCGGUGAAAUUUUGCAGCUUAACUGUAACAGUGCCGUUGAUACUGUUUGGCUAGGAUUUGGUUGUAGUGUGCGGAAUGUGUGGUGUAGCGGUGAAAUGCUUAGAUAUCACACAGAACACCGAUUGCGAAGGCAGCACACUAAGUCAUUAUUGACGCUGAGGCACGAAAGUGUGGGGAUCAAACAGGAUUAGAUACCCUGGUAGUCCACACUGUAAACGAUGAUAACUCGCUGUCGGCGAUACACAGUCGGUGGCCAAGCGA
This 804-nucleotide ribosomal RNA is filed under the name uncultured bacterium. RNAcentral's name for it is "bacterial SSU rRNA". It matches the Rfam family "Bacterial small subunit ribosomal RNA", at positions 59 to 854 of the family's 1533-position model. The record is from RNAcentral.